This 966-nucleotide ribosomal RNA is filed under the name Erannis golda. RNAcentral describes it as "partial 16S rRNA". The record is from RNAcentral. Lineage: Eukaryota; Metazoa; Arthropoda; Insecta; Lepidoptera; Geometridae.
AAAGAGUUAAAUAAUUAAUAAAGUUAUUGUAGCAAAAUUAUUUUAAAUAAUUAUUUUGAAAUGAAAUGUUAAUCGUUUUUAAAUAUAUCUAGUUUUUAUAGAAAAAAAUUUAAUUUUAAAUUUAUUAAAUAAUUUAAUUAAUUUGUUAAUUAAAUUAUUAAUUUAAAUUUUAUAAUUUAAGGGAUAAGCUUUAAAUUAAAUUUUUAUAAUAUGAUUUUUAUUUUUUGAAAAUUUUAUAAUUUAUAUUGUUAAUAAAUUUUAUUUUAUUAUAAAUAAUUUCAUAUUUAAUAAAAUUUAAAAAAUUAUAUUUAAUUUUUUAUAUAAAUAUUAUUUUAAAUUAAAAAAAUUUAGAAAUAAUGAUAAAAUUAGUAUAUUAUAAUUUAUUAUUUAAUUUUAAGUUUUUAUUAAUAAUUAAAUUAAUUAAAAGGAAUUCGGCAAAUAUUUAUUUUCACUUGUUUAUCAAAAACAUGUCUUUUUGUAUUUUAUUUAAAGUCUAAUCUGCCCACUGAUUUAAUAAAUUAAAGGGCUGCAGUAUAUUGACUGUACAAAGGUAGCAUAAUCAUUAGUCUCUUAAUUGGUGACUUGUAUGAAAGAUUGAAUGAGAAAUAUACUGUCUCUUAUUUAUUAUAUAGAAUUUAAUUUUUUAUUUAAAAAGUUAAAAUAAAUUAAAAAGACGAGAAGACCCUAUAGAGUUUUAUAAAUAUUUUUAUUAAAAAAUUAUUUAUAUUAUAAUUAAAUAUUAUUAUAAAAUUAUUUAUUUUGUUGGGGUGAUAAAAAAAUAAAUAAAACUUUUUUUAAAAGUUUAACAAAAAUAAUUGAAUGUUUGAUCCAUUAAUAAUGAUUAUAAGAUUAAAUUNCCUUAGGGAUAACAGCGUAAUUUUUUUUUUUAGUUCAAAUAAGAAAAAAAGUUUGCGACCUCGAUGUUGGAUUAAGAUAAAAUUUAAAUGCAAAAGUUUAAAAUUUUUG